This 383-nucleotide long non-coding RNA is filed under the name Medicago truncatula (barrel medic). RNAcentral describes it as "long non-coding RNA (MTRU_LNC000530)". The record is from RNAcentral. Lineage: Eukaryota; Viridiplantae; Streptophyta; Magnoliopsida; Fabales; Fabaceae.
UUCAAAAACCAUGAUGUUGAUGUUCUCCUAACCCCUUUAUUUGAUCAUGGUGUCAAACAUGGGGUAUGAUAUUAGAUUCACAACAUCAAACCUUGUUUCUCUGACAACUUCAAAUUCUUUCAUCUCAUCGAGUCUUGAUCAUCUACUGAUAUGAACCUUUGGACUAUUCUACGUGUUGUCGAGGUUGGCUUCUGGACGCUUUGGUGGUGGUGGCUUUCUUGGAAGGUGCUUUGUUUUUGUGGUUGGAGUCAUUUUGCGAGUUUGGUGAAAAUGAGUUAAUUUUAGGGAAGGGUUGGUGUAGAUUUUGUGGAAUUGAUAUGAAGUCUGAUGAUUGGGGUAGGUAUUUGGUGUUAGAACUUAGAAAUGGGUUAAAUAUGAAUAUA